This 21-nucleotide non-coding RNA is filed under the name Caenorhabditis elegans. The record is from RNAcentral. Lineage: Eukaryota; Metazoa; Nematoda; Chromadorea; Rhabditida; Rhabditidae.
UAUAAUCAAAAAAAAAACAGU